This 434-nucleotide ribosomal RNA is filed under the name uncultured Glomus. RNAcentral describes it as "SSU rRNA". It matches the Rfam family "Eukaryotic small subunit ribosomal RNA", at positions 597 to 1036 of the family's 1831-position model. Lineage: Eukaryota; Fungi; Glomeromycota; Glomeromycetes; Glomerales; Glomeraceae. The record is from RNAcentral.
GCGUAUAUUAAGUUGUUGCAGUUAAAAAGCUCGUAGUUGAAUUUCGGGGUCAGCAGGUUGGUCGUGCCACUGGUAUGUACUGGCUUCGCUGAUUCCUCCUUUCUGAAGAACUGUAAUGCCAUUAAUUUGGUGUUGCAGGGAAACAGGACUGUUACUUUGAAAAAAUUAGAGUGUUUAAAGCAGGCUAACGCUUGAAUACAUUAGCAUGGAAUAAUGAAAUAGGACGUUUGAUCCUAUUUUGUUGGUUUCUAGGAUUGACGUAAUGAUUAAUAGGGAUAGUUGGGGGCAUUAGUAUUCAAUUGUCAGAGGUGAAAUUCUUGGAUUUAUUGAAGACUAACUACUGCGAAAGCAUUUGCCAAGGAUGUUUUCAUUAAUCAAGAACGAAAGUUAGGGGAUCGAAGACGAUCAGAUACCGUCGUAGUCUUAACCAUAAA